GACGAACGCUGGCGGCGUGCUUAACACAUGCAAGUCGAACGGAAAGGCCCUGCUUGCAGGGUGCUCGAGUGGCGAACGGGUGAGUAACACGUGGGUGAUCUGCCCCUUACUUUGGGAUAAGCCUGGGAAACUGGGUCUAAUACUGGAUAGGACCAUGCUGUAGGUGGUGUGGUGGAAAGAUUAGUUUCGGUAAGGGAUGAGCUCGCGGCCUAUCAGCUUGUUGGUGGGGUAAUGGCCUACCAAGGCGUCGACGGGUAGCCGGCCCGAGAGGGUGGACGGCCACAUUGGGACUGAGAUACGGCCCAGACUCCUACGGGAGGCAGCAGUGGGGAAUAUUGCACAAUGGGCGCAAGCCUGAUGCAGCGACGCCGCGUGGGGGAUGACGGCCUUCGGGUUGUAAACUCCUUUCAGCCAUGACGAAGCCCUUGUGGUGACGGUAGUGGUAGAAGAAGCACCGGCUAACUACGUG
Molecule: ribosomal RNA, 469 nt
Filed under: uncultured bacterium
Lineage: Bacteria
Description: partial 16S ribosomal RNA
Rfam family: Bacterial small subunit ribosomal RNA
Source: RNAcentral